CCUACGGGUGGCAGCAGUGGGGAAUAUUGCACAAUGGGGGAAACCCUGAUGCAGCGACGCCGCGUGAGUGAAGAAGUAUUUCGGUACGUAAAGCUCUAUCAGCAGGGAAGAAAGUGACGGUACCUGACUAAGAAGCCCCGGCUAACUACGGGCCAGCAGCCGCGGUAAUACGUAGGGGGCAAGCGUUAUCCGGAUUUACUGGGUGUAACGGGAGCGUAGACGGCAGCGCAAGUCUGGAGUGAAAUCCCAUGGCUUAACCAUGGAACUGCUUUGGAAACUGGGCAGCGAGAGUGCAGGAGAGGUAAGCAGAAUUCCUAGUGUAGCGGUGAAAUGCGUAGAGAUUAGGAGGAACACCAGUGGCGAAGGCGGCUUACUGGACUGUAACUGACGUUGAGGCUCGAAAGCGUGGGGAGCAAACAGGAUUAGAUACCCGUGUAGUC
This 440-nucleotide ribosomal RNA is filed under the name uncultured bacterium. RNAcentral describes it as "partial 16S ribosomal RNA". It matches the Rfam family "Bacterial small subunit ribosomal RNA", at positions 338 to 795 of the family's 1533-position model. The record is from RNAcentral.